UACGUAGGGGGCAAGCGUUGUCCGGAUUUAUUGGGCGUAAAGAGCGUGUAGGCGGCCUUACAGGUCAGCUGUGAAAACUCGAGGCUCAACCUCGAGACGUCGGUUGAAACCGUAUGGCUAGAGUCCGGAAGAGGAGAGUGGAAUUCCCGGUGUAGCGGUGAAAUGCGCAGAUAUCGGGAGGAACACCGGUGGCGAAGGCGGUGGUCUGGGCCGGAACUGACGCUGAGGAGCGAAAGCAUGGGGAGCAAACAGG
Molecule: ribosomal RNA, 253 nt
Filed under: uncultured bacterium
Lineage: Bacteria
Description: partial 16S ribosomal RNA
Rfam family: Bacterial small subunit ribosomal RNA
Source: RNAcentral